Clupea harengus (Atlantic herring) is the source of this 1626-nucleotide long non-coding RNA. NCBI's taxonomy places the organism in Eukaryota, Metazoa, Chordata, Actinopteri, Clupeiformes, Clupeidae. The record is from Ensembl.
UGAGAAGGACAAAGGGCAAAAUAGACUAGAAGAAGAGAGAGAGAAGAUGGAGGAGCGAGAAAAGAAAUGGGUGGAAGAGGAAAUAAGAAAGGGAGAGGUGAUCAUAAUGGAGAAGCAAAAGAAGAGAGAGGAAGAGAACAGAAGGGUGGAGGACGAAAGAAAGGAAGAGGCAGUGAGGUUGGAGAUGAACAGAGAGAGAAUGGAGGAAGAGAAAAAGAUGAUGGAUGCAAACAAUGACGAUAAUCUGUUAAGGAGUCAGGAGGAGGAGAGAAUGAGAGCUCUGGAAUUAGAAAAGAGGAACAGAGUGACAGACGAACACCUAACAGACAUCUGGACAGAAGCAGUGAAUUUAGAAGUGACAUACUCAGAUGAUGAGGACUGGAUAGACUCUGAACGUGAUAAUGAAAUCAAGAUCCAGACAGAUGAGAAGCAGCAGGACCUUGAGAGUGAGUUGGAGGAGAGCAUUGAUAAAGAACUGAGCCAUGGAGAGCACAGUGACAUAGAGAAUAAACUGGCAGAGAAAGAGGUUGAGAGAAGCCCAACUUCUAUGGCGGAGCAGUCUGGAAAAUCAUCAGUCCAAGAUGAAGAACACUUGCGGAGCCCUGAAGUGACAGCACAUGCAAACCCACAGUAUACUCAAUAUAUGAAGUCACCAUUGCCAGAUCUCUCAUCUCCUACAGAAAAUAUGGCAUCACAAACCCUACCUCCACGACAGGAUAAACUCACAGAUUCAGUGGAUGGGGAUCCCUUCUGUGAAAAGCAGGAAUAUUCAGAUUAUGACGGUGGGACGGAGUCUGAGAAGUUGAACAAUGAAGGUAAGAUCCAGAAAGGUGAAGAGAUCCAGACGGAGGAGGACAUUGACCACAAGUCUGAGGAGGACAGCAUAGUCGAAGAACUGAGCCAAGAUGAUCAGAGUGACAUUGACAUUGAGGCGGUACAUUUAGUGGAGGUUGAAAGCAACAUCAGCAGCUUCACCAAUAUGAGGAAACCAGCGGCAUGUGCAGCAGUCCAUGAGGACCAGUCUGGGCAACAGUCAGCAAAGCCAAAAGACAUGGCAAAGGAACAGAAGGAUGGUGAUAUGAAGGCAGACAUAUUGAGGGUGGAAGAACAAGGGAAGAGAGUUCAAGAAAACAGCCAGAAGCAUAAGACAAAACAGGAGCAAGAGACAAUGAAGUUAAAUAUGGGCAGAGAAAGAAUGGAGGAAGAGAUAAAGAUGAUGGAUGCAGAACAUGAGAACGCCAAUAUGUCAAGGAGACUGGAAGAGGAGAGUACGAGUGCUCUGGAAGAAGAAGAGGAGAGGAGGAGGAGGGUAAAGAAGGAAGUUGGGACAGAGAUGGUGAAAGGACAUCCCUCCCCUGCAGAGAAGUUAGAGUCUGAUGAUAAAGUCUUGAGGAAAGAAGGAAAGAAAGGCAGGAAUAAAGACAAGGAGAUCCUGACGGAGGACAAAGAACCUAUGAUGAAGCCCGAAAAGACAGCACAUGCAAGUUCAGAGAAUAUUCUACUGAAGUCACCUUUACAAGGAGAUCACCUCUCUCCCAUCGUGGAAAAGGUGACGUCAAAACCUUUGGCACCAUUACAAGACAUGUGCAAGCAUCAGCUAGAUGAUGGUUCUAAUGCAGCAAUGGA